Molecule: ribosomal RNA, 255 nt
Filed under: uncultured bacterium
Lineage: Bacteria
Description: partial 16S ribosomal RNA
Rfam family: Bacterial small subunit ribosomal RNA
Source: RNAcentral
UACGGGGGGGAGCAAGCGUUGUUCGGAUUUACUGGGCGUAAAGGGCGCGUAGGCGGCCACCGCAAGUCGAUUGUGAAAUCUCCGGGCUUAACCUGGAAAGGUCAACCGAUACUGCGGGGCUAGAGUGCAGAAGGGGCAACUGGAAUUCUCGGUGUAGCGGUGAAAUGCGUAGAUAUCGAGAGGAACACCUGCGGCGAAGGCGGGUUGCUGGGCUGACACUGACGCUGAAGUGCGAAAGCUAGGGGAGCGAACGGG